GACGAACGCUGGCGGCGUGCCUAAUACAUGCAAGUUGAGCGCUUAAGGUUGGUACUUGUACCAACUUGAUGAGCAGCGAACGGGUGAGUAACGCGUGGAGAAUCUGCCUUUGAGCGGGGUACAACAUUUGGAAACGAAUUCUAAUACCGCAUAAAAACUUUCAACACAAUUUUUAAGUUUGAAAGAUGCAAUUGCAUCACUCAAAGAUGAUCCCGCGUUGUAUUAGCUAGUUGGUGAGGUAAAGGCUCACCAAGGCGAUGAUACAUAGCCGAACUGAGAGGGCGAUCGGCCACACUGGGAGGGAGACAGGGCCCAAAGUGAUAGGGGAGGCAGCAGUACGGCAACUUGGGCAAUGGAUGAAAGACUGAGCGAGAAAGGCGGAGUGAGUGAAGAAGGUCUUCGGAUGGUAGAACUCUGUUGGUAGAGAAGAAAGUGGGUGAGAGUGGAACGAUGAUCAAGUGACGGUAACGAGUAAGAAAGGGACGGCUAACUACGUG
This 497-nucleotide ribosomal RNA is filed under the name uncultured bacterium. Its description in RNAcentral is "partial 16S ribosomal RNA". It matches the Rfam family "Bacterial small subunit ribosomal RNA", at positions 28 to 507 of the family's 1533-position model. The record is from RNAcentral.